Molecule: unclassified non-coding RNA, 348 nt
Filed under: soil metagenome
Description: partial contains 5.8S ribosomal RNA, internal transcribed spacer 2, and large subunit ribosomal RNA
Rfam family: 5.8S ribosomal RNA (bases 1-120)
Source: RNAcentral
GAUGAAGAACGCAGCGAAAUGCGAUAAGUAAUGUGAAUUGCAGAAUUCAGUGAAUCAUCGAAUCUUUGAACGCACAUUGCGCCCGCCAGUAUUCUGGCGGGCAUGCCUGUCUGAGCGUCAUUUCAACCCUCAUGCCCCUAGGGCGUGGUGUUGGGGAUCGGCCAAAGCCCGCGAGGGACGGCCGGCCCCUAAAUCUAGUGGCGGACCCGUCGUGGCCUCCUCUGCGAAGUAGUGAUAUUCCGCAUCGGAGAGCGAUGAGCCCCUGCCGUCAAACCCCCAACUUUCCAAGGUUGACCUCAGAUCAGGUAGGAAUACCCGCUGAACUUAAGCAUAUCAAUAAGCGGAGGA